CCAUCAUCAAGCUCAUCAAAUGAGCUGUUCUGAUGUCAGCAACAGGUCCAGUGGGUACCGCUCUUCUCUUUCUUUAUAAGCCGGGAACCGAUGAAGAUGGAUGUCGCUGCUGAAGAGGAUGCAGUGUACGAGCAGCACCUGUGGCAGACCUUUCUGCCUUAAUAAGAUAAAUAUGAUGGGAGUAAAUACUUUAUUGUGAUGAAUUACAGUGUGUAUAUGUCUAUGUGUAUGAGCGGAAGCACAUUGAAUUCACCAAAGAAUUUCUUUCUUCUUUAUCUUAUUAUCUUUAAUUAUGACUUACUGUCUCAUAAUUACAAGAAAACUAUUGGAUGGUUUUCUUGUAUGUAUGAUAAACAGUAUAAAAGUAUAAAAUAAUUUGUAGAGGCAAUAUUGGAAUCUAUAAUCAGAGUUGCAGAAUAUUGUGUAGUAAUUCAUGAUUUCAAGUGAUGGUCUCGAAUUUUGGUUGAUUGUUGGUGAAUGUGAUGCUUUUCUGUAUUUAUUAAAUGAAAUAACCAAUGAA
This is a long non-coding RNA of Thunnus maccoyii (southern bluefin tuna), 520 nucleotides long. RefSeq lists it as uncharacterized. The transcript is spliced from 2 exons. NCBI's taxonomy places the organism in Eukaryota, Metazoa, Chordata, Actinopteri, Scombriformes, Scombridae. The record is from RefSeq and is a predicted model, not a curated record.